AGCGGGCACGCCAGUGUUCGUGGAGUCGCCGUUGAAAUUCCACUCUGGUCACUCUGGAUAUCUAACUUCGGCCCGUGAUCCGGGUCAGGGACAGUGCCUGAUGGGUAGUUUAACUGGGGCGGUUGCCUCCUAAAAUGUAACGGAGGCGCCCAAAGGUUCCCUCAGCCUGGUUGGCAUUCAGGUGUCGAGUGCAAGUGCACAAGGGAGCUUGACUGUG
RNAcentral lists this ribosomal RNA (217 nucleotides) under uncultured Nitzschia. Its description in RNAcentral is "partial Bacterial large subunit ribosomal RNA". It matches the Rfam family "Bacterial large subunit ribosomal RNA", at positions 2161 to 2377 of the family's 2925-position model. Lineage: Eukaryota; Bacillariophyta; Bacillariophyceae; Bacillariales; Bacillariaceae. The record is from RNAcentral.